RNAcentral lists this long non-coding RNA (231 nucleotides) under Elaeis guineensis (African oil palm). RNAcentral describes it as "long non-coding RNA (EGUI_LNC038465)". Lineage: Eukaryota; Viridiplantae; Streptophyta; Magnoliopsida; Arecales; Arecaceae. The record is from RNAcentral.
AUAUUAAUACAAGGAUAUAGGUACUCAUUAGAGAAUGAGUUCACUGAACUAAUCUACAGAAAGAAUAUCUAAUGGUCAACAGAUGGUUCUCCAAUAGGAGUGGUAUAUGUGAUCCUUUGACCUGAGAUCACCAUGGUACCUUGUGUACAUGGAUCCUUACUUUGGUUUAUUCUCUAGCACAUUAAUUUGUAAUGUGUGUGGGAUAUUCUGGGGAUGAUAAAAUAUGCAUGA